Molecule: long non-coding RNA, 1035 nt
Organism: Saccostrea echinata
Lineage: Eukaryota; Metazoa; Mollusca; Bivalvia; Ostreida; Ostreidae
Exons: 3
Source: RefSeq, a predicted model, not a curated record
UGGAAUUGUCACAGGACAUAGAGCUAUACACUGUACAUCGCUGCCAUACUUCAUAAAACAAAUAAAAAGAUAUACUGGGAUAGACUAUAUAAGUUAAAACGAUUGAUAUAGACCUCUUCAUAUAAAAUAUGGACGCUGUUGGAGGUGUAGUGUAUGUAUUAUCAUGGAUUCUGGCGUUUAUUUUCUUGAAGGCCGGGUUGGUCAAAAUAAGCCGAUUAUUUCCAAAAGAACACCAACAAGCGUCUGCGAGAUUUGAUAUUUGUGCUACGGUGUGUCCCACAGCAUUCAUAGGAUACAGACCCCCUCCAUAUGCAUAUAUGAUAGUGAUAGGCGCCAUAGAAACACUGAGUUCCAUUGCUCUUUUCACGCCUUUACCAGAAAUAGAGAGAGGUGUAUAUUUAAUAUUCGCAGCUUUAAUGACACUUGCAAUUUAUACCCAUGGUGCUCUGCGACAAUAUGGCAAAAUGGUGGUACCAAUCUGUUUAUUCCUUACGAGUGUAAUUUUGUAUAAAACCAGAACUUCGAUGCUUGUGUAAUAACAGCAGAUACUGUAAGACUGUAAUGCUUGUGUAAUAACAGUAGAUACUGCAAGACUGUAAUGUUUGUGUAAUAACAGUAGAUACUGUAAGACUGUAAUGUUUGUGUAAUAACAGCAGAUACUGUAAGACUGUAAUGUUUGUGUAAUAACAGCAGAUACUGUAAGACUGUAAUGUUUGUGUAAUAACAGCAGAUACUGUAAGACUGUAAUGUUUGUGUAAUAACAGUAGAUACUGUAAGACUGUAAUGUUUGUGUAAGAACAACUGAUACUGUAAGACUGUAAUAUUUGUGUAAUAACAGCAGAUACUGUAAGACUGUAAUGUUUGUGUAAUAACAGCAGAUACUGUAAAACUGUAAUGUUUGUGAUUUUCUCUCUAGUAUAGCACAAAAAUGUUUAAGUUCUUGUUUCUUACUGAGUACACUUUUUCAUGUUUGUAAUCUAAGCGUGCACUUAUAGUUGUUUUAAUUAUCUUAUUAAAUAUGAUUAUUAAAACACA